This 644-nucleotide ribosomal RNA is filed under the name Salmonella enterica subsp. enterica serovar Bareilly. RNAcentral describes it as "partial 23S ribosomal RNA". It matches the Rfam family "Bacterial large subunit ribosomal RNA", at positions 1 to 688 of the family's 2925-position model. Lineage: Bacteria; Pseudomonadati; Pseudomonadota; Gammaproteobacteria; Enterobacterales; Enterobacteriaceae. The record is from RNAcentral.
GUUAAGCGACUAAGCGUACACGGUGGAUGCCCUGGCAGUCAGAGGCGAUGAAGGGCGUGCUAAUCUGCGAUAAGCGCCGGUAAGGUGAUAUGAACCGUUAUAACCGGCGAUACCCGAAUGGGGAAACCCAGUGUGAUUCGUCACACUAUCAUUAACUGAAUCCAUAGGUUAAUGAGGCGAACCGGGGGAACUGAAACAUCUAAGUACCCCGAGGAAAAGAAAUCAACCGAGAUUCCCCCAGUAGCGGCGAGCGAACGGGGAGGAGCCCAGAGCCUGAAUCAGCAUGUGUGUUAGUGGAAGCGUCUGGAAAGGCGCGCGAUACAGGGUGACAGCCCCGUACACAAAAGCGCAUGUGCUGUGAGCUCGAUGAGUAGGGCGGGACACGUGGUAUCCUGUCUGAAUAUGGGGGGACCAUCCUCCAAGGCUAAAUACUCCUGACUGACCGAUAGUGAACCAGUACCGUGAGGGAAAGGCGAAAAGAACCCCGGCGAGGGGAGUGAAAAAGAACCUGAAACCGUGUACGUACAAGCAGUGGGAGCACCCUUUUGGGUGUGACUGCGUACCUUUUGUAUAAUGGGUCAGCGACUUAUAUUCUGUAGCAAGGUUAACCGUAUAGGGGAGCCGUAGGGAAACCGAGUCUUAAC